GAUGAAAACGUAGCGAAAUGCGAUAAGUAAUGUGAAUUGCAGAAUUCAGUGAAUCAUCGAAUCUUUGAACGCACAUUGCGCCCGCCAGUAUUCUGGCGGGCAUGCCUGUCUGAGCGUCAUUUCAACCCUCAUGCCCCUAGGGCGUGGUGUUGGGGAUCGGCCAAAGCCCGCGAGGGACGGCCGGCCCCUAAAUCUAGUGGCGGACCCGUCGUGGCCUCCUCUGCGAAGUAGUGAUAUUCCGCAUCGGAGAGCGAUGAGCCCCUGCCGUUAAACCCCCAUCUUUCCAAGGUUGACCUCAGAUCAGGUAGGAAUACCCGCUGAACUUAAGCAUAUCAAUAAGCGGAGGA
This 347-nucleotide unclassified non-coding RNA is filed under the name soil metagenome. RNAcentral's name for it is "partial contains 5.8S ribosomal RNA, internal transcribed spacer 2, and large subunit ribosomal RNA". The stretch from base 1 to 119 matches the Rfam family "5.8S ribosomal RNA", at positions 35 to 154 of the family's 154-position model. The record is from RNAcentral.